RNAcentral lists this long non-coding RNA (1774 nucleotides) under Homo sapiens (human). Its description in RNAcentral is "HSALNT0167372". The record is from RNAcentral. Lineage: Eukaryota; Metazoa; Chordata; Mammalia; Primates; Hominidae.
GUCAGAGCUAGGGAAAGCCAACUUGGCCAUCCAAGGGUCCCCAGAAGGAGCUUAGUUUGCUGCUGAAUCCUCCCCACCACCCCAGAAAAAAAAACGUGUGGUUAGUGGAUAGGACCUGUUCUCCCAUCCAGCAGGGCAUCCCAAGGGAGCAGAUAUUUCUAUUUUUUUUCCUAAGGUAAUUUUGUUGUAGCAGGAGGGAAUAUUUCUAAAACUUGGGUAGUGGGCCAGACCUUACUCGUGGACAAAUAGGAAAAGGAAAAUACAUAGUACACACACACACACACAAACACACACACACACACGGGAAGGGGGAGCACGAACCUUCUAUUUCCUUCUUUGCAAUUUGAGUGUCUGUUUCUCUACUUCCUGUCUCCUACCCCCAACUAUAUUCACACAUAACUCCAAGGACAGGAUUUCUUAUGACAUACUCACUAGUUAACUGUGCAGUAAUAUUGCACCUGGCUCUGUGAACAUCUUCCACAUAAAUAACACAUCUCACUUUCACAUAAAUCACUACCUGAUACACAUUUCAACCUGUGAUAUAUCUUUUUUCCAAGACGGAGUCUCGCUCUGUUGCUUAGGCUGGAGUGCAGUGGCGCGAUCUCGGCUCACUGCAACCUCCAGCUCCUGGGUUCAAGCGAUUCUCCUGCCUCAGCCUCCUGAGUAGCUGAGAUUACAGGUGCAUGCCACCACACCCAGCUAAUUUUUGUAUUUUUAGUAGAGACAGGUUUCACUAUGUUGGCCAGGCUGGUCUCGAACGCCUGACCUCAGGUGAUCCACCCACCUUGGCCUCCCAAAGUGCUAGUAUUACAGAUGUGAGCCACCGCGUCUGGCCAUCAACCUGUGAUAUAUCUCAAAUCCUAAAUAUACCCAAAUCCUGGAUAUAUACACACACACACAGUCUAAGUCAUACACACUGGGACCUAUGACACGCAUCCUGACCUCAAUACACACACCAAAACUGUGUUAUAACCCCUAAACCUGUGACAGCCUAUCACAUACACACCCCGAUCAUUUAUUAUGCAAGGACUUAACCUAUAAAUCACCCUCUCUGAAGCCUGCGUACCAUUCCUCAUCACAGCCUGGCCAUAGAAUAAACCCCAGCUUUCACAAACAUACUGAAAUCUAUAACAUUCAGCCAGACCCUGCAACAUACAGCCUAUCACCAGGACUUAAGACACUCCCACUGACUCCCAAAUUUACAGCUUAACUCUGGGGUAGUCCCACUUCUCCCCCACUGCCUUUAAACUUUCCAAAGUGCAUUCACAGGCAGUACCUCAAGAGAUCCUCAUAGCACAUAGGGCCAAAUAUCCUAACAGUGAGAUCCUAACAGAACCCACUGAGACAGGAUGACCAGGGUGGGCUGGGGGGUGGGGGGGUUGAACCCUGCACUUCUAAACCCACCAGAUACAAGCCAAGCCCUGCAGCCAUUCCUACUCCCUUCCCCCUCCAGGCCUCAAAUCACUGUCCUCAUGGGGAGGGGGAAAUGUGCUCUGGCUUUUGCCUCCAGCCCAGAGCUCAGAACCCCACACCCACCCUGUCUCCUCAGACAGGAGGGACUACAAGGGCCCUCCAGUCUCGCUGUGGGGUGGAGGGGCCCCUAAAUGCCAAGAUGUAUCGACUGGCAAACCAUUCAAAACAGGCCUUCUAGUUAUUCUCUAGCAAGUCUGCUCCUUUCUCUGCUCUGACCAGAUUUACCCAGUUGCACAGGGGCAGAACAGGUCCAGCUAAAAAGAGCAAGUCUGAGUUAGAAGGCCUUAGAAUUGGUGGUGAG